This 1448-nucleotide ribosomal RNA is filed under the name Bacillus pumilus. RNAcentral describes it as "bacterial SSU rRNA". It matches the Rfam family "Bacterial small subunit ribosomal RNA". Lineage: Bacteria; Bacillati; Bacillota; Bacilli; Caryophanales; Bacillaceae. The record is from RNAcentral.
UAUAACGGCUUGCGGCGUGCAUACAUGCAAGUCGAGCGGACAGAAGGGAGCUUGCUCCCGGAUGUUAGCGGCGGACGGGUGAGUAACACGUGGGUAACCUGCCUGUAAGACUGGGAUAAUCCGGGAAACCGGAGCUAAUACCGGAUAGUUCCUUGAACCGCAUGGUUCAAGGAUGAAAGACGGUUUCGGCUGUCACUUACAGAUGGACCCGCGGCGCAUUAGCUAGUUGGUGGGGUAAUGGCUCACCAAGGCGACGAUGCGUAGCCGACCUGAGAGGGUGAUCGGCCACACUGGGACUGAGACACGGCCCAGACUCCUACGGGAGGCAGCAGUAGGGAAUCUUCCGCAAUGGACGAAAGUCUGACGGAGCAACGCCGCGUGAGUGAUGAAGGUUUUCGGAUCGUAAAGCUCUGUUGUUAGGGAAGAACAAGUGCGAGAGUAACUGCUCGCACCUUGACGGUACCUAACCAGAAAGCCAGGCUAACUACGUGCCAGCAGCCGCGGUAAUACGUAGGUGGCAAGCGUUGUCCGGAAUUAUUGGGCGUAAAGGGCUCGCAGGCGGUUUCUUAAGUCUGAUGUGAAAGCCCCCGGCUCAACCGGGGAGGGUCAUUGGAAACUGGGAAACUUGAGUGCAGAAGAGGAGAGUGGAAUUCCACGUGUAGCGGUGAAAUGCGUAGAGAUGUGGAGGAACACCAGUGGCGAAGGCGACUCUCUGGUCUGUAACUGACGCUGAGGAGCGAAAGCGUGGGGAGCGAACAGGAUUAGAUACCCUGGUAGUCCACGCCGUAAACGAUGAGUGCUAAGUGUUAGGGGGUUUCCGCCCCUUAGUGCUGCAGCUAACGCAUUAAGCACUCCGCCUGGGGAGUACGGUCGCAAGACUGAAACUCAAAGGAAUUGACGGGGGCCCGCACAAGCGGUGGAGCAUGUGGUUUAAUUCGAAGCAACGCGAAGAACCUUACCAGGUCUUGACAUCCUCUGACAACCCUAGAGAUAGGGCUUUCCCUUCGGGGACAGAGUGACAGGUGGUGCAUGGUUGUCGUCAGCUCGUGUCGUGAGAUGUUGGGUUAAGUCCCGCAACGAGCGCAACCCUUGAUCUUAGUUGCCAGCAUUCAGUUGGGCACUCUAAGGUGACUGCCGGUGACAAACCGGAGGAAGGUGGGGAUGACGUCAAAUCAUCAUGCCCCUUAUGACCUGGGCUACACACGUGCUACAAUGGACAGAACAAAGGGCUGCAAGACCGCAAGGUUUAGCCAAUCCCAUAAAUCUGUUCUCAGUUCGGAUCGCAGUCUGCAACUCGACUGCGUGAAGCUGGAAUCGCUAGUAAUCGCGGAUCAGCAUGCCGCGGUGAUACGUUCCCGGGCCUUGUACACACCGCCCGUCACACCACGAGAGUUUGCAACACCCGAAGUCGGUGAGUACCUUUAUGAGCCAGCCGCCGAAGUGCCAGU